UACGUAGGGUGCGAGCGUUGUCCGGAAUUACUGGGCGUAAAGCGUGCGUAGGUGGUUUGUUAAGUCUGUUGUGAAAGCCCCGGGCUCAACCUGGGAAUGGCGAUGGAUACUGGCGGGCUAGAGUGCGGAAGAGGCGAGUGGAAUUCCUGGUGUAGGCGGUGAAAUGCGCAGAUAUCAGGAGGAACACCGAUGGCGAAGGCAGCCAUCUGGACCGACACUGACGCUGAGGCGCGAAAGCGUGGGGAGCAAACAGG
RNAcentral lists this ribosomal RNA (254 nucleotides) under uncultured bacterium. RNAcentral describes it as "partial 16S ribosomal RNA". It matches the Rfam family "Bacterial small subunit ribosomal RNA", at positions 524 to 776 of the family's 1533-position model. The record is from RNAcentral.